Molecule: ribosomal RNA, 420 nt
Filed under: uncultured bacterium
Lineage: Bacteria
Description: bacterial SSU rRNA
Rfam family: Bacterial small subunit ribosomal RNA
Source: RNAcentral
GGAAUUUUGCCCAAUGAGCGAAAGCCUGAUCCAGCAACGCCGCGUGGAGGAUGAAAGCCUUCGGGUUGUAAACUCCUGUCAGGUGGAACGAAAGCUGCGGGGCUAAUACCCUUGCAGUUUGACGGUACUACCAGAGGAAGCCCCGGCUAACUCCGUGCCAGCAGCCGCGGUAAUACGGAGGGGGCGAGCGUUAUUCGGAAUCAUUGGGCGUAAAGGGCGCGUAGGCGGCUUAGCAAGUCAGGGGUGAAAUCCCUCGGCUCAACCGAGGAACUGCCUCUGAAACUGCUUCGCUUGAGGCCGGGAGAGGGUAGUGGAAUUCCCAGUGUAGCGGUGAAAUGCGUAGAUAUUGGGAGGAACACCAGUGGCGAAGGCGGCUACCUGGACCGGUUCUGACGCUGAGGCGCGAAAGCGUGGGGAGCA